Molecule: ribosomal RNA, 465 nt
Filed under: uncultured bacterium
Lineage: Bacteria
Description: partial 16S ribosomal RNA
Rfam family: Bacterial small subunit ribosomal RNA
Source: RNAcentral
CUACGGGGGGCUCCAGUGGGGAAUAUUGGACAAUGGGGGAAACCCUGAUCCAGCAAUGCCGCGUGUGUGAAGAAGGCCUGCGGGUUGUAAAGCACUUUCGGUUGGGAGGACUGCUUCUAGCACUAAUAUUGUUGGAAGUUGACGUUACCUUCAGAAGAAGCACCGGCUAACUCCGUGCCAGCAGCCGCGGUAAUACGGGGGGUGCAAGCGUUAAUCGGAAUUACUGGGCGUAAAGCGCGCGUAGGCGGCUAGAUCAGUCGGGUGUGAAAGCCCCGGGCUUAACCUGGGAACUGCAUCCGAUACUGGCUAGCUUGAGUACAGGAGAGGAGAGUGGAAUUCCACAUGUAGCGGUGAAAUGCGUAGAUAUGUGGAGGAACACCAAUGGCGAAGGCAGCUCUCUGGCCUGAUACUGACGCUGAGGUGCGAAAGCGUGGGGAGCAAACAGGAUUAGAUACCCUUGUAGUC